RNAcentral lists this ribosomal RNA (403 nucleotides) under Verrucomicrobiota bacterium. Its description in RNAcentral is "Verrucomicrobia bacterium partial 16S ribosomal RNA". It matches the Rfam family "Bacterial small subunit ribosomal RNA", at positions 355 to 776 of the family's 1533-position model. Lineage: Bacteria; Pseudomonadati; Verrucomicrobiota. The record is from RNAcentral.
UGGGGAAUAUUGCACACUGGGCGCAAGCCUGAUGCAGCAACGCCGCGUGAACGAUGAAGGUCUUCGGUUCGUAACGUUCUGUCGCAGGGGUUGAUAAUGACGGUACCCUGUGAGGAAGCCCCGGCUAACUCCUUGCCAGCAGCCUCGGUAAUACGUAGGGGGCUAGCGUUAUCCGGAUUUACUGGGCGUAAAGGGUGCGUAGGUGGUCUUUCAAGUCGGUGGUUAAAGGCUACGGCUCAACCGUAGUUAGCCUCCGAAACUGGAAGACUUGAGUGCAGGAGAGGAAAGGGGAAUUCCCAGUGUAGCGGUGAAAUGCGUAGAUAUUGGGAGGAACACCAGUAGCGAAGGCGGCUUUCUGGACUGCAACUGACACUGAGGCACGAAAGCGUGGGUAGCAAACAGG